CCUACGGGUGGCAGCAGUGGGGAAUAUUGCGCAAUGGGCGAAAGCCUGACGCAGCGACGCCGCGUGAGGGAUGAAGGUCUUCGGAUCGUAAACCUCUGUCAGCAGGGAAGAACGGUCACUGUGCUAAUCAGCAGUGAAUUGCCGGUACCUGCAAAGGAAGCACCGGCUAACUCCGUGGCAGGAGCCGCGGUAAUACGGAGGGUGCGAGCGUUAAUCGGAAUUACUGGGCGUAAAGCGCUCGUAGGCGGUAUGUCAAGUCAAGGGUGAAAUCCUGGGGCUCAACGUGGGAACUGCCUUUGAAACUGGCAAGCUGGAGUGUGUGAGAGGAUAGUGGAAUUCCAGGUGUAGGAGUGAAAUCCGUAGAUAUCUGGAGGAACAUCAGUGGCGAAGGCGACUAUCUGGCACAUAACUGACGCUGAGGAGCGAAAGCGUGGGGAGCAAACAGGAUUAGAUACCCCUGUAGUC
This 465-nucleotide ribosomal RNA is filed under the name uncultured bacterium. RNAcentral describes it as "partial 16S ribosomal RNA". It matches the Rfam family "Bacterial small subunit ribosomal RNA", at positions 338 to 795 of the family's 1533-position model. The record is from RNAcentral.